GGAUCCAGACUUUGAUUCUGGCUCAGGACGAACGCUGGCGGCGUGCUUAACACAUGCAAGUCGAACGAGAAUCUACUGAAAGAGUUUUCGGACAAUGGAUGUAGAGGAAAGUGGCGGACGGGUGAGUAACGCGUGAGGAACCUGCCUUGAAGAGGGGGACAACAGUUGGAAACGACUGCUAAUACCGCAUGAUGCAUAGGGAUCGCAUGAUUCUUAUGCCAAAGAUUUAUCGCUUCAAGAUGGCCUCGCGUCUGAUUAGCUAGUUGGCGGGGUAACGGCCCACCAAGGCGACGAUCAGUAGCCGGACUGAGAGGUUGAACGGCCACAUUGGGACUGAGAUACGGCCCAGACUCCUACGGGAGGCAGCAGUGGGGAAUAUUGGGCAAUGGGCGCAAGCCUGACCCAGCAACGCCGCGUGAAGGAAGAAGGCUUUCGGGUUGUAAACUUCUUUUAAGAGGGAAGAGUAGAAGACGGUACCUCUAGAACAAGCCACGGCUAACUACGUGCCAGCAGCCGCGGUAAUACGUAGGUGGCAAGCGUUGUCCGGAUUUACUGGGUGUAAAGGGCGUGCAGCCGGGUCUGCAAGUCAGAUGUGAAAUCCAUGGGCUCAACCCAUGAACUGCAUUUGAAACUGUAGAUCUUGAGUGUCGGAGGGGCAAUCGGAAUUCCUAGUGUAGCGGUGAAAUGCGUAGAUAUUAGGAGGAACACCAGUGGCGAAGGCGGAUUGCUGGACGAUAACUGACGGUGAGGCGCGAAAGUGUGGGGAGCAAACAGGAUUAGAUACCCUGGUAGUCCACACUGUAAACGAUGAAUACUAGGUGUGCGGGGACUGACCCCCUGCGUGCCGCAGUAAACACAAUAAGUAUUCCACCUGGGGAGUACGAUCGCAAGGUUGCAACUCAA
Molecule: ribosomal RNA, 903 nt
Filed under: uncultured Bacillota bacterium
Lineage: Bacteria; Bacillati; Bacillota
Description: bacterial SSU rRNA
Rfam family: Bacterial small subunit ribosomal RNA
Source: RNAcentral